RNAcentral lists this ribosomal RNA (359 nucleotides) under uncultured bacterium. RNAcentral's name for it is "bacterial SSU rRNA". It matches the Rfam family "Archaeal small subunit ribosomal RNA", at positions 725 to 1080 of the family's 1478-position model. The record is from RNAcentral.
AGUGAAUAGAUACCCUGGUAGUCCUAGCCGUAAACGAUACUCGCUAGGUGUCGGCCACGGUGCGACCGUUGUCGGUGCCGUAGGGAAAGCCGUGAAGCGAGCCACCUGGGAAGUACGGCCGCAAGGCUGAAACUUAAAGGAAUUGGCGGGGGAGCACCACAACGGGUGGAGCUUGCGGUUUAAAUUGGAUUCAACGCCGGAAAUCUUACCGGGACCGACAGCAAUAUGAGGGCCAGGCUGAAGACUUUGCCGGAUUAGCUGAGAGGUGGUGCAUGGCCGUCGUCAGUUCGUACUGUGAAGCAUCCUGUUAAGUCAGGCAACGAGCGAGACCCACGCCCACAGUUGCCAGCGUACUCUCC